RNAcentral lists this ribosomal RNA (443 nucleotides) under uncultured bacterium. RNAcentral's name for it is "bacterial SSU rRNA". It matches the Rfam family "Bacterial small subunit ribosomal RNA", at positions 15 to 507 of the family's 1533-position model. The record is from RNAcentral.
GAUCAUGGCUCAGAACGAACGCUGGCGGCAGGCCUAACACAUGCAAGUCGAGCGCCCCGCAAGGGGAGCGGCGGACGGGUGAGUAACGCGUGGGAACGUACCCUUUGCUACGGAAUAGCCUCGGGAAACUGGGAGUAAUACCGUAUGUGCCCUUCGGGGGAAAGAUUUAUCGGCAAAGGAUCGGCCCGCGUUGGAUUAGGUAGUUGGUGGGGUAAUGGCCUACCAAGCCGACGAUCCAUAGCUGGUUUGAGAGGAUGAUCAGCCACACUGGGACUGAGACACGGCCCAGACUCCUACGGGAGGCAGCAGUGGGGAAUCUUAGACAAUGGGCGCAAGCCUGAUCUAGCCAUGCCGCGUGAGCGAUGAAGGCCUUAGGGUUGUAAAGCUCUUCAGUGGGGAAGAUAAUGACUGUACCCACAGAAGAAGCCCCGGCUAACUCCGUG